This 238-nucleotide ribosomal RNA is filed under the name Rhizophagus irregularis. The record is from RNAcentral. Lineage: Eukaryota; Fungi; Glomeromycota; Glomeromycetes; Glomerales; Glomeraceae.
CUAACAUAUAUGCGAGUGUUAUAGCCCUUAAUUAAUGUGAUAUUUGGGAUUGAGGAUUGCAACGGAUACCCCUCGGGGUUACCCGUCUGAUCUCUGAUCGUUGCUCUGGUACCGAAAGCGUGCUUACGGUUAUCAAAGUCGAUGGUCAACAGGUUAGAACGGGUUAAAUUCGUUAAGGAUGUUGACGUAAUGGCUUUAAACGACCGUCUUGAACACGGACCAAGGAGUCUAACAUAUA